UUUGCCUAUUGUGUAUAGCGUUAGAAAUUUCGUCUCUGUUAAAAUUUUGAUUAUUUCAAUGGAUUGAAGGUGUAGUGAACUAAACAAAUCUAUUUUACUUCAAUUUGUUUUCACAGUUCCGUUGAUAUUCAUAAAUUUUCAAGAAAUGUUUAUAAAUGUUUUCAGAAUAGAAUUGAAUCAAUUGAUAGUGGAAAAAGAACUGGACAUCAGAAAAAGGAUCUGGAAUUUAAAGAGUAAACCAUCAAUUUGGCCCCUGAACUAUCACUAUCUCUGCAAAUUAGUCCCUAAACUAUUAAAACAUACGAAAAGGUCCCAAGAUAUUCCCCAUCUAUCCCUUUAGUCCUUAGGUUAGUUUAGUAAUUAGUCCUUGUACUCUAUAAAACCUUCAAUUUUUCGUUUCUUCCCCCACUUCCUCUUCUCCUGGUUUUUUGUAAUGAAGUUUAUGAAUUCCAAUUUAUGUGAUUAUGUUGGUUUCGUAUGAUUUUUGGUCUAUAAUAAAUUAUGGUUUAUGUGAUGAUUUCUGAUUAGUGGAUUCACUGGUGUAUUAUGAAACUUUAGGGACAUACUGAUGUAUUUUCAUGCUUUGGGGACUUGGGGACUUAAUAACAAAAAUGUGUAAAUUAUAUAAGUUUGAAAUAGGAGACAGUUGGGUUGCCAACAUGGCAGUUAAAACCAUUCAAAUGCUCAAAUUGAUGGAGAGACUAAAUAGAUGGAUUGGGGAAUGUUUUAAGGACCGUUUAGUAUGUUUUAAUAGUUUAGGCACUAAAUUGGGGAGAGUGAUAUUUGAAGGACAAAACUGACGGUAUAUUUGAAAUUUAUGCACAAUUAUGCAUAAUUUUGGAUCAAUAACACGUCAAUAACCGUAUGAUAUAUCUCUGAAAUUAAAUAGCAUUGCUCAUAAAGU
RNAcentral lists this long non-coding RNA (904 nucleotides) under Medicago truncatula (barrel medic). Its description in RNAcentral is "long non-coding RNA (MTRU_LNC003012)". Lineage: Eukaryota; Viridiplantae; Streptophyta; Magnoliopsida; Fabales; Fabaceae. The record is from RNAcentral.